UACAGAGGUGGCAAGCGUUGUUCGGAAUUACUGGGCGUAAAGGGCGAGUAGGUGGCCAUCUAAGUCAGGCGUGAAAUCCCCCGGCUUAACCUGGGAACUGCGUCUGAUACUGUACGGCUUGAGUAUGGGAGAGGAACGUAGAAUUCCAGGUGUAGCGGUGAAAUGCGUAGAUAUCAGGAGGAACACCGGUGGCGAAGGCGGUUCUCUGGGCAUUACCUGACGCUGAGGAGCGAAAGUGUGGGGAGCGAACAGG
RNAcentral lists this ribosomal RNA (253 nucleotides) under uncultured bacterium. RNAcentral's name for it is "partial 16S ribosomal RNA". It matches the Rfam family "Bacterial small subunit ribosomal RNA", at positions 524 to 776 of the family's 1533-position model. The record is from RNAcentral.